RNAcentral lists this ribosomal RNA (1470 nucleotides) under metagenome. RNAcentral describes it as "bacterial SSU rRNA". It matches the Rfam family "Bacterial small subunit ribosomal RNA". The record is from RNAcentral.
AGAGUUUGAUCCUGGCUCAGGACGAACGCUGGCGGCACGCUUAACACAUGCAAGUCGAACGAGAGAAGAGGAGCUUGCUUUUCUGAUCUAGUGGCGGACGGGUGAGUAACACGUGAGCAAUCUGCCUUUCAGAGGGGGAUACCGAUUGGAAACGAUCGUUAAUACCGCAUAACAUAAUUGAACCGCAUGAUUUGAUUAUCAAAGAUUUAUCGCUGAAAGAUGAGCUCGCGUCUGAUUAGCUAGUUGGUAAGGUAACGGCUUACCAAGGCGACGAUCAGUAGCCGGACUGAGAGGUUGAUCGGCCACAUUGGGACUGAGACACGGCCCAGACUCCUACGGGAGGCAGCAGUGGGGAAUAUUGCACAAUGGAGGAAACUCUGAUGCAGCGAUGCCGCGUGAGGGAAGAAGGUUUUAGGAUUGUAAACCUCUGUCUUCAGGGACGAAAAAAGACGGUACCUGGGGAGGAAGCUCCGGCUAACUACGUGCCAGCAGCCGCGGUAAUACGUAGGGAGCGAGCGUUGUCCGGAAUUACUGGGUGUAAAGGGAGCGUAGGCGGGAUCGCAAGUCAGAUGUGAAAACUAUGGGCUUAACCCAUAAACUGCAUUUGAAACUGUGGUUCUUGAGUGAAGUAGAGGUAAGCGGAAUUCCUAGUGUAGCGGUGAAAUGCGUAGAUAUUAGGAGGAACAUCAGUGGCGAAGGCGGCUUACUGGGCUUUAACUGACGCUGAGGCUCGAAAGCGUGGGGAGCAAACAGGAUUAGAUACCCUGGUAGUCCACGCCGUAAACGAUGAUUACUAGGUGUGGGGGGACUGACCCCUUCCGUGCCGCAGCAAACGCAAUAAGUAAUCCACCUGGGGAGUACGACCGCAAGGUUGAAACUCAAAGGAAUUGACGGGGGCCCGCACAAGCAGUGGAGUAUGUGGAUUAAUUCGAAGCAACGCGAAGAACCUUACCAGGUCUUGACAUCGUAUGCAUAGCUCAGAGAUGAGUGAAAUCUCUUCGGAGACAUAUAGACAGGUGGUGCAUGGUUGUCGUCAGCUCGUGUCGUGAGAUGUUGGGUUAAGUCCCGCAACGAGCGCAACCCUUACUGUUAGUUGCUACGCAAGAGCACUCUAGCAGGACUGCCGUUGACAAAACGGAGGAAGGUGGGGAUGACGUCAAAUCAUCAUGCCCCUUAUGACCUGGGCCUCACACGUACUACAAUGGCUGUCAACAGAGGGAAGCAAAGCCGCGAGGUGGAGCGAACCCCUAAAAGCAGUCUUAGUUCGGAUUGUAGGCUGCAACCCGCCUACAUGAAGUCGGAAUUGCUAGUAAUCGCAGAUCAGCAUGCUGCGGUGAAUACGUUCCCGGGCCUUGUACACACCGCCCGUCACGCCAUGGGAGUCGGUAACACCCGAAGCCUGUAGUCUAACCGCAAGGAGGACGCAGUCGAAGGUGGGAUUGAUGACUGGGGUGAAGUCGUAACAAGGUA